This 92-nucleotide transfer RNA is filed under the name Streptomyces griseoloalbus. RNAcentral's name for it is "tRNA-Ile". Lineage: Bacteria; Bacillati; Actinomycetota; Actinomycetes; Kitasatosporales; Streptomycetaceae. The record is from RNAcentral.
CUGACCUCCAGGCCCUUGGCCCGGAGUGCCUCGCCGUAGAUGUCGGCGAGCAGGGUGCUCUCGGCGAAGUUGUUCGAGCCGACGACGACGGU